UUUCUUUGUGGCUUAUAUUAAUUAGCCCAUAGAACGUUUUGACACAGCAUGCUUAUCUGUUGUAAAUUUAUAUAUAUAUAAUUUAUUAUUUGUUUUGUUUGAGGCAGUACCCUGAGACGGGCUCCCUCACCAAGUGGAGAUGCCAGGAAUCAAACCCAGGACCUUGUGCAGUAGAGGCGGGCGCUCUACUGUUGAGCUACAACUGCACCCUUCUGUUGUAAAUUUUUUAUUUUUUGUUUUUCUAAGUUUUUACCUCCUGCUACAUAUGAAAUGAGGAUAAGAAAAAACAGGAUUUUUAAGUUACAUUUAUUUCUAAAUGUAACUUAAAAAACAAUCUCUUACUAUUUUUAAAAGCAUUCUUAUCAUAUAAUAUAUUUCAAAUAUACCUAAAGCCAAUAGAAGCAACUGUUCUCUUGAUAACUUCAUUUCUUUAACACUGAGUUAGGUUUUUAACUUAAAACAGGAUAUUUGGAUUUGGGGUUUUUUUGUUUUGUUUUGAGUUUGUUAGUAUAUUGUUUUGUUAUUGUUGUUGUUUGUUUUUUCUUUAGAUUUUUUUAUUACUUUAUUAUGUGUAUGAGUGUUUUGCCUGUAUGUAUGACAGAGUACCAUAUGCAUGCCUAGUGCUUGCAGAGAUCAGAAGAUGGUAUCAGAUCCCUAGCACUAGAGCUAUAGAUGGUUAUUAGCUGCCAUGUGGGUGCUGGGAACUGAACCCAAAUCUUCUGCAACAGGAGCCUGUGCUCUUAACUAUUAAGCCAUCUAGCCAGCCCCUUAAAUGGUAUGUUUUUAGUAUCUGCUAAAUACUAUUUUCCACUAAAUUUUCCAAGUUUAAAUAUUUAUUUAAAAGUGUCAGCCAGGAGUGAUGAUGCACACACACCUUUAGUUGCAGCACUUGGGAAGCAGGAGCAGGUAGAGCUCUAUGAGUCUGAAGCCAGCCUGGUCUACAGAGCAAGUUCCAGGCCAGUCAGCACUAUAUAGCGAAGCCCUUUCUCUUAACAAACAAACUGAAAGUUAUCACUAGUCAUGACUAAUGCUUCUUUUACUUGUUAUUCUCAAUGAUCUUCACUUCUCAGUUUAGAAUUAGGUGAAAGUGUUACAUCAUUUUUGAAACAUUUAAUUGGGGCUGGCUUACAGUUUCAGGGGUUUAGCAGCAGACAUGGUGCUGAGAGUUCUACAUCUUGAUCCUCAGGCAGCAGGAGGUGACUGUCACAUUGGGUGUAGCAUUGAUCUCAAAGCUUUCCCCCAUAGUGACACACUUCCUCCAGUAAGGCCACACCUCCUAAUAGUGCCACUUCCUGUGCCCAGAUCUUCCACACACGCACCUGUGGGGGCCAUUCCUAUUUACCCCUCCAUGUUUACUCGUUUCCUAGUGUGUCACAUUGGAGCCUGUAAUGUCUAGUUGUAAAUUAAGUAUCUUGCAUUGGAAAUAAAGUCAUUCAGCCCCUUUGUUUUACUAAUUUUUUCAGAUGGAAAUUUUAUGUGUAUUUGUGGCUCCCAAAUUUUAAAGCCUGUCUUUUCUGCCCAAUUCUCUUUAGAUGUAAAAAUCAUAUCCUAUGUCUUUAUUUAAAUGUAAAACAGUGAAGUAAAUGCAUAUUAAUUUAGAAAUACUUCCCUGUGAGCUUGCCAGAAUCUUAGAGACAGUUACAGAACUUGCAGCAGUAUGACUAGGGUCUAACCUGUUUCCUCCUCAUUCGCUGGUGUAUUGAGAGCUCCAUAGCCUGGUACUGAUUUAAUGAGAGUGAUUCGGGUUCUGCCUUCUCACAUCUCACACCUCACUGGGGAAAAGGAUCUUUCAGGCAAAGGGUGUUGAAUGAAUAGAGGUAAUGUUGUCUUAUGCAUCUAUACUCUGUGGUCUGAAUUCCUAUGGUUAUUGUCCAACGAGGUAUAACCUGGGUCUGAAAUAAUGCUUCUAGAAGGAAACUGCAGUCACAGUGAGGAAUAAUUAUAUCUAUCCUCUCUACACUGUAGCUGAGUGCCAGGUAUGGAGUCUCUCAGAAACCUGUCCAUGGUGAUUUCAAAUGAACUCAAUGACCGAGGAUCAAAGAAGCAAACAGGCAGAAAAGAGAAAGCCAUCCAUCCAAGCUGCCUUCAGCUUCACACUGGGCAGCAGCUGCCAGUGGAGUUGUUUCUGGGCCUGCCAUUGCUAGUUGUUUAUACGUGGAUUUAAAAUGUAGCAGAAUGUGAUGCUUCAGAGUUGUGAGGUCUUAGGUUUGAAGCAUAGAUAGUACAUACUCCAUUUUAUCCCAUAAAAAAUGUGGAAGUCAGCUUCAUACAGUAAGUUCUGAUUUGUGAGUGAAAACUAUGUAAAACUAGAUAAAAAUCUUUCUUUCUAACAGUAUUUUAAAUUAACAUUUUUCCAUAUUGCCUUACAAGAGAACUAAGGUAGAAAUUUUUCUUAUAGAGUGUUCUAGACAAUUUUCAAAAUCCAUAGAAUAUUAUUAAAUAUUUAGGAAGACACAUAUAUCAUGUUUUUAAUCAUUUGCAUUUACUUUCCUUCAAGAAGACAAGAAACAGUCUACUGUCAGGCUUCACUUCCUAUUCAAUAGUAGUAGCUAACAUAAAGUCAACUUAAGUCUUCCUCUAAGUUAGAAUCAAACC
RNAcentral lists this long non-coding RNA (2595 nucleotides) under Mus musculus (house mouse). Its description in RNAcentral is "long non-coding RNA chr5:24153293-24155888". Lineage: Eukaryota; Metazoa; Chordata; Mammalia; Rodentia; Muridae. The record is from RNAcentral.